RNAcentral lists this ribosomal RNA (393 nucleotides) under uncultured bacterium. RNAcentral describes it as "partial 16S ribosomal RNA". It matches the Rfam family "Bacterial small subunit ribosomal RNA", at positions 523 to 918 of the family's 1533-position model. The record is from RNAcentral.
AUACGGAGGAUCCGAGCGUUAUCCGGAUUUAUUGGGUUUAAAGGGAGCGUAGGUGGACAGUUAAGUCAGUUGUGAAAGUUUGCGGCUCAACCGUAAAAUUGCAGUUGAUACUGGCUGUCUUGAGUACAGUAGAGGUGGGCGGAAUUCGUGGUGUAGCGGUGAAAUGCUUAGAUAUCACGAAGAACUCCGAUUGCGAAGGCAGCUCACUGGACUGCAACUGACACUGAUGCUCGAAAGUGUGGGUAUCAAACAGGAUUAGAUACCCUGGUAGUCCACACAGUAAACGAUGAAUACUCGCUGUUUGCGAUAUACAGCAAGCGGCCAAGCGAAAGCAUUAAGUAUUCCACCUGGGGAGUACGCCGGCAACGGUGAAACUCAAAUGAAUUGGCGGGG